This is a long non-coding RNA of Hemicordylus capensis (graceful crag lizard), 558 nucleotides long. RefSeq lists it as uncharacterized. The transcript has 4 exons. NCBI's taxonomy places the organism in Eukaryota, Metazoa, Chordata, Lepidosauria, Squamata, Cordylidae. The record is from RefSeq and is a predicted model, not a curated record.
ACUAGCACACUGGAUCUCUGCAGAAAGCAGGUCUGCGUAGUUUGGCAGCAAAAUGGCAGACUCUACAAACCCAGGCACAUGGGGAGCAAAGGGAAGGAAGCACCGAAGGUGGAGGAGCAGCAUUAACUCAAACAACAGCAACAACAAAAAUAGGGAAACAACAUCAAGCAACUUUGAAUUCCAAAAUCUGGGAAGCAAUUCAGAUCAGGAGAAUUCCAGAAGCAUUCCACGUUUGAGGACAAGGUAUGCAUGAUCCAAAAUGAUAAAAUUCAGAAACUACUACAUAUCAGACCCUCUGCCUCAAAUUCUAUAUCCUUCUCGCCUACCCAAAAGGUGGGCUUCGGAAUAUACUCCCUGCUGAAAUAAGAGCAUCUCCGCCUCUGUUUGUUUUUGGGAAGACCCUCAAGACUCACCUGUUCUCGCAGGCUUUUAAUUAGAAUUAAUACUUUUAAUAAUUUGUUUUAAUCACUGUUUUAUGCUAUUGUUUUCAUUGUGUUUCGUGUAUUUUAAUCUGUGUUGACUUUUAAACAUUGUUUUAGAUUUUGUACACGUCCUAUG